Molecule: ribosomal RNA, 334 nt
Filed under: uncultured eukaryote
Lineage: Eukaryota
Description: partial 18S ribosomal RNA
Rfam family: Eukaryotic small subunit ribosomal RNA
Source: RNAcentral
CCCUUAGAUGUUCUGGGCUGCACGCGCGCUACACUGAUGCGCUCAACGAGUUUAUGACCUUGCCCGGAAGGGUUGGGUAAUCUUCUUAAAACGCAUCGUGAUGGGGAUAGAUUAUUGCAAUUAUUAAUCUUCAACGAGGAAUUCCUAGUAAGCGCGAGUCAUCAGCUCGUGCUGAUUACGUCCCUGCCCUUUGUACACACCGCCCGUCGCUACUACCGAUCGGAUGGUUUAGUGAGACCCUCGGACUGGUCCCGUCGAAGCAGGCGACUGCCUCGACGCGCGCGCCGGGAAGAAGGUCGAACUUGACUAUCUAGAGGAAGUAAAAGUCGUAACA